CAACCCGAAGUAGCUCUUGGUUAGCUUUCUGGCUUCCUCAUCAGGUUGGUGGUGGUGGUGGUGGUGGGGGGAGGAGGUGUGGGCCCUGCCUGUGUAGGACCUGUGUAGUUGGGCCUGUAAUACCGAUGUUGUCUGUGUCUAGAAGUAGGGACAUGGACCUGGCUACCUGCUGCAUGGCUGAAGUGAGCUGCCUUCAACCUGUGUGAAACAGACCAGUUAGGUCAAGAGUGGGCCAACCUGUGGCAGAAGCCUGGAUGGAUGGGGAUACUGGAUGCUCCUGAAAGAAAGAAACAAGAAGAACAAAAAGGCAAAAGAGGGAGAGCAGCUCCAUCUAUUGGAAUCAGAGGAGAGCAGCACACACAGGGAGGGUGGUGCUGUCGAUGGGGAACGGGCCAUGGGCGACGGCCAGCCACACACCUGAACCUGGUGGAGGUUGAGGCCCGAGGGAACCUCAGUUCUCAGCUUGCAGAUCCAGAGUCCCUCGUUUCUUCUGCGCUGGCCGACCGUCCAAGACGCGCAUGUCUGCAGACCCGAGAUGGAGAGGUGCUGGGGAGAGUGCACCUGGAAGUGUUUGA
Acanthopagrus latus (yellowfin seabream) is the source of this 575-nucleotide long non-coding RNA. RefSeq lists it as uncharacterized. The transcript has 3 exons. NCBI's taxonomy places the organism in Eukaryota, Metazoa, Chordata, Actinopteri, Spariformes, Sparidae. The record is from RefSeq and is a predicted model, not a curated record.